AUGCCUCCCUACAAAACAACACUCAAAAGUUUCUCUAUAAAGAAUCCCUUGCAAGACCAGAGCAGAAUUAUUGUGUUUCAUAUGCCUUUUGUUUUUCCUAGUUUCCAAACAGUGUGGCAUCACCUUAAUAACUUUUUGGUCUGAAAAUCUGGGACUCCCCCUCUCUCAUAGUUGGACAAAAAAAAAUAACAAAAAUAAUUUGCAGCAAGCAGCAUAGUGCUGAGCAAAAGCUAAGGCUUCUCUCUAUCAUAUGAUCCAGAGAACACUGCAGGUUUUAUUUUUUGGAUACUACAAUUAUGAACUUACCAUCACCAUCAUAAAUAUGGCCAAUCAUUUGACAUAUUUCUCUAUUGAACUUUCAACAAUUGAUGGAAAGCCUCCUGUGGUAUAUCAACAGAACCAAUACGCUUCAUUCGCUUCUUGCCUUCCUUCUGUUUUUCCAAAAGCUUCCUUUUCCGAGUAACAUCCCCACCAUAACACUUUGCAAGAACAUUCUUUCUCAUAGCCGAAAUCGUUUCCCUUGCAAUAACCUUUGAUCCAAUUGCAGCUUGUAUCGUUAUCUCAAACAUUUGCCUAUCAAUGAACUUCUUCAGCUUCUCUACCAGCUCACGACCAACACGUUGUGCCUUCAACUUAUGAACAAUGGUUGCCAUAGCAUCAACUGGUAGUCCAUUUAGGAGGAUAUCAAGUUUUACCAAAUCAGCUUCUUGAUAAUCUGAAUCCUCAUAGUCAAAUGAUGCAUA
RNAcentral lists this unclassified non-coding RNA (743 nucleotides) under Hevea brasiliensis (rubber tree). Lineage: Eukaryota; Viridiplantae; Streptophyta; Magnoliopsida; Malpighiales; Euphorbiaceae. The record is from RNAcentral.